UACGGGGGGGGCAAGCGUUGUUCGGAAUCACUGGGCGUAAAGCGACCGCAGGCGGCCUGACAAGUCGGAUGUGAAAGCCCUGGGCUCAACUCAGGAAUUGCAUUCGAAACUGGCAGGCUCGAGUACGGGAGAGGGGGGUGGAAUUCCUGGUGUAGGGGUGAAAUUCGUUGAUAUCAGGAGGAACACCGGCGGCGAAGGCGGCCCCCUGGCCCGCAACUGACGCUCAUGGUCGAAAGCGUGGGGAGCAAACAGG
RNAcentral lists this ribosomal RNA (253 nucleotides) under uncultured bacterium. RNAcentral's name for it is "partial 16S ribosomal RNA". It matches the Rfam family "Bacterial small subunit ribosomal RNA", at positions 524 to 776 of the family's 1533-position model. The record is from RNAcentral.